Molecule: long non-coding RNA, 1298 nt
Organism: Cottoperca gobio
Lineage: Eukaryota; Metazoa; Chordata; Actinopteri; Perciformes; Bovichtidae
Exons: 2
Source: RefSeq, a predicted model, not a curated record
CUCGGACCACUCCACCUGCUCCGGUCACCUUACUCCCUCCUUCACCUGCUCACCUGUUUCCACCUUCCUUUGUGAGCUCUGCAGUAUUUAACUGGCCCGUUUCCACUUAUUCCCUGUCAUAUUGUCAAAUGUGCCAGCGUUCCGGUCUUUGCAAUCUGUUACCUGGAAUCUGAAUCUUGUUAUCUAAUCUUUUGGACUUUGGAUUUCCUGAUGUGUUUGCCUGCUUGGACUGUCUUCCUGGUUUUGACCCUUGCCUGCCUCAUGCUUCCGUACAAUGACUGAUUCUUGAACUGUUGAGCUCAUGAUGCAGCAUCAACAUGACAUACCCUCUAACAGGAUAAACCAGGCUGUGUGACCGAGCUGCAGCUGGAGAGAUGAAGAGGGCUCAGGCUGAAAGGACUGUGACAUUAGGAGGAACAGGACAGGAUGGAGACAUGGCUUAGAAACCGUUUUGGACUAACAGGCUCUGAAGAUGGGCAGCCAUCACAGACAAACCCAUGGAUUCCUGUGUCUCGCAAGAAUUACAUUCUCACCAUCAUUCUCACAGGUCAAGUUAUCAGGUCUACUGUAGCUAGACAUGGUCGCCAUGGAAGCACACAAAGGUCCUGUCAUUGUCAUUGACCUCCCACUGUGGCACCAACUAUUUCCCAAGUCCCAGCCUUUAAUGACUCUGGAUGUGUUAAGAAAUGUAUUUAAAUAAAUCUGAAAUAGUAAUAAAUAAACAAAUCUUGGGAAAUCAGAUACUAAUGCAAUAAGUUGAAAUAACAAACACAGUAAGCAAAUACAGUAGAACAUUUAGCAACAUAAAGAGAAACAAAAAGCUGCUUACAAUAAUAUCCUAUUAAAAGCAAUGAAGCUAACUUAUUUUAGUAACAUAACUACAAAUCUAUAAAUAUAAUGUAUUAAAUAAAUGUAAUAUGAAUUCUUUUGUGUAUGGUUAUUUUAUUAUUUUGUUGAUGUUUUGUUUGAUGUGUUACACAGUUAGAUAACAUUGGUUGUAUUCUAUCUUUUUCUUAUAGUUAACAAAUCCCAUGAAAAAAAUCCAAAACCUGAUACAUUUUAUUCCUUCUUGCAACAGGACUUUUUUUUAUUCAAUCCCCCCAUACACUGUUCUGCUGCCGUAAAUAUUCACUAUAGCACCAGUUGUGGAUUAAUCCACAGCUGAAAAAUAGUCCCCAACAAACUAUUUACUCCUACUGGAUUCAUACUCUGUUGCAGCCCCUCGGCAGAAAUGAAGAACUGAAUUUGUCAUGUUUCCUUUCAUUUGUUACACUUGAUGGAUGCUGUACUUUUAUCUU